UACGAAGGGGGCUAGCGUUGCUCGGAAUCACUGGGCGUAAGGGUGCGUAGGCGGGUCUUUUAGUCAGGGGGGAAAUCCUGGAGCUCAACUCCAGAACUGCCUUUGAUACUGAGGAUCUUGAGUUCGGGAGAGGUGAGUGGAACUGCGAGUGUAGAGGUGAAAUUCGUAGAUAUUCGCAAGAACACCAGUGGCGAAGGCGGCUCACUGGCCCGAUACUGACGCUGAGGCACGAAAGCGUGGGGAGCAAACAGG
RNAcentral lists this ribosomal RNA (252 nucleotides) under uncultured bacterium. RNAcentral describes it as "partial 16S ribosomal RNA". It matches the Rfam family "Bacterial small subunit ribosomal RNA", at positions 524 to 776 of the family's 1533-position model. The record is from RNAcentral.